This 459-nucleotide ribosomal RNA is filed under the name uncultured bacterium. RNAcentral describes it as "partial 16S ribosomal RNA". It matches the Rfam family "Bacterial small subunit ribosomal RNA", at positions 338 to 795 of the family's 1533-position model. The record is from RNAcentral.
CCUACGGGCGGCUGCAGUGAGGAAUAUUGGUCAAUGGGCGCGAGCCUGAACCAGCCAAGUAGCGUGAAGGAUGACUGUCCUAUGGGUUGUAAACCUCUUUUAUAUGGGAGUAAAACAGGCCACGCGUACCCUUCCGUGUGUACCCGAUGAAUAAGCAUCGGCUAACUCCGUGCCAGCAGCCGCGGUAAUACGGAGGAUGGGAGCGUUAUCCGGAUUUAUUGGGUUUAAAGGGUGGGCAGGCGGAUGAUCAAGUCAGUGUGAAAAUUUACCGGUUCAACCUCUUAGAGCAGUUGAAACUGGUUUUCUUGAGUGAAGGAGAAGUAGGCGGAAUGCGUGGUGUAGCGGUGAAAUGCAUAGAUAUCACGCAGAACUCCGAUUGCGAAGGCAGCAUACUGGCGUUCAACUGACGCUGAUGCUCGAAAGUGUGGGUAUCGAACAGGAUUAGAUACCCCUGUAGUC